Molecule: ribosomal RNA, 577 nt
Filed under: uncultured bacterium
Lineage: Bacteria
Description: bacterial SSU rRNA
Rfam family: Bacterial small subunit ribosomal RNA
Source: RNAcentral
ACGGGUGAGUAACACGUAGGCAAUCUACCUUUCCGUCCGGGAUAACUAGCCGAAAGGUUAGCUAAUACCUGAUGCGAUCACCGAGCGGCAUCGCUUGGUGAUGAAAGCAGCAAUGCGCGGAUUGAGGAGCCUGCGGCCCAUUAGCUAGUUGGUGAGGGUAAUGGCCCACCAAGGCAACGAUGGGUAGCUGGUCUGAGAGGACGACCAGCCACACUGGGACUGAGACACGGCCCAGACUCCUACGGGAGGCAGCAGUGAGGAAUUUUCCGCAAUGGGCGAAAGCCUGACGGAGCGACGCCGCGUGCACGAGGAAGGUCUUCGGAUCGUAAAGUGCUGUCGAGGGGGACGAUUAUGACGGUACCCCUGGAGGAAGCCCCGGCUAACUACGUGCCAGCAGCCGCGGUAAGACGUAGGGGGCGAGCGUUGUUCGGAAUUACUGGGCGUAAAGCGUGCGUAGGCGGAUUCGUAAGUCGAGGUUGAAAUAUCCGGGCUCAACUCGGGGCACGGCCUUGAUACUGCGAACCUUGAGGCGAGUAGAGGGUAAUGGAAUUCCCGGUGUAGCGGUGAAAUGCGUAGA